GUGCGUGCGUGCGUGCGCGCGCGCGCGCGUGUGUGUUGAGGAGCACAUGGACGACAGAGGACGAGAUUUUAGCAGCGCGGCUAAUUAAAGCAGCUCAUCGCCUGAGGGGGGAAAAAAAGACAUCUCAGGACUAAAUUUAACACCGGGAACGCAGACACAGGCUUGUGUUUUAUAUCAGACGGGCAAAAAAACAAGAAAAAAAGGUGAGUUUAAAGUGUAGUUUGUUUGUUAAACGACAUCUUGAGCUUUUUGUUUUUUUUAGGCUAAACACAAACACAAACAAAUGUCCUGUGUGCUCGUGUGAAGUUAAAGGUAUUUACUUCAGAAAUAGUGUGAACAAUGAGUGGAAAGUCUUUUCAAAAGGACUUGAAGUCAUGUUUUUGCAGAGUUAGCAUGUAGCCUUCAUAUCAAAUGGUUAUUUAUUUGUUAUAAUCUCAUUGCAUCAUGUUGCAACUCACUUAUUUUAUUAUACUGUAUUGUUUGAUUUAUUGCAUACAAGUUAAAUAGAAGAGUAUGUUCUCAAAUAUUUCAUCUUUUUUUCUUCUUCUUCUAAACAUUGUUGCUUGUGCAAAAAUGCACUGAGAAAAGUGUGUGCAUUUAUUUUAUCCUGCCAUUUUACCAAAAACCCAUAAGCAGGAGGUCAUAAACUGAGGCUAUAGACAUGCCUCCACGUGAUAAUAACCUCCAGCUGCUUCAGCUAUGGCUGUCACUCGCAGCCCUUUAUGACAUGUCUCUGUGUCGUGACCUGCGUCCUCCUGAUGAUGCGACGUGUGAUGUCACCUCCACCGCAAGCUCCUAUCGAUGAACCUUGACAAAGCGAGGCCCCUAAUUACCGAAGACUCGUCACCUACCUCGGCUUGAUGCUGUACAUCUUUUAUGUUCAUGCUGGCAGGCCACAAGUCGCUCGUGCCUCUUGUUGCUCGUGGGUCACGUUCCAACGAAAAUUGGUAGUAGCUAUGUAUAGCUUCUAGCGCUCAGUAAUUUAAACACCUGGUAAAUAAAGCACUAAAGAUUGUCAAGAUUGGUGGUUUGAUUGAUUUGUUACGUGCAAGGUUCGGUCAGUCCGUACAGGAUUUCACUUACGUUUUAUUGUUAUUUUUUUUAUGAAUGGUUUGGCCCAAAAUGCUCAAAAUGAUUUUAACGGAAGACUACUGACGAAAUUGCAAUUGCACGAAAUUGUUCUUUCGCAGUGAUGAGAUCUUUUUAGCUGUACCGAUGUUCACGUGAAUCGAAAAGGCCGUUGUGAUGACGUCACGUCACGCGCCUUAGUUUAAAUCGGCGGUAAAUUUGAAAAACUUGCAAGCUCUUUCGAAUAUUGCGGAGUUUAAUUGAUUUCGUGUUAACUUAUGUGAUCGCCAAGUCGCUAAAUCCUGGAGGGACUGCUCUGGACAAGCUUCACUGGCAAUGCAAGCUAGCUAGCGCCUUCCUAGAGUUACAACCUUUGAAGCUUUCUUUUUCUUUGUAACGCCUGUACACAUUUAACGCGAGGUCGGACAUCACGGGAUAAACGUUUUUCUUCCACUUUUGCACCUUGAGAAGUAAAAGGUAGGAGUCGGGAACUGAAGAAACAUCCGACCACACGCGCCGUAGGAUCGGUCCGAGGAAACCUUCGAGCCACUGGUUUGGAUCUGUCCUGUUACUACGUCAUGCUGUAUUUUUUGUUGUUGUUGUUGCACAGAAUGAAGAAAUCUCUCGUGUAAUGUUGCGCUGUCACUAUGUCACUUGUCAUACACACUAAUGUUGGUUGUCCAAGGUCAAGGUCUUUAGCAAGUCAAGCGGAAGAAAAGGUCAUCUGAGGUGACCUCGUGAGGGUGGUGCACGUGAAUGUGUGGAGUCUGGAUAAUCAUGUUCGGAUGCCGUGUGAAGCGAGCACAGAUAUCAUCAUUCACUGGCUGAGGGGCACCUCGGGGAGCCUUUGGCAGCUGGUGGAGCAGACGGGAGUGAUUGCGGCAGCAGUAUGGCUGCGUUAGCUUUGAUUAGAAAAGCGUGGACGCUGAAUUGAGCGUGUAGGAUGAUGUCUGUGUCAAACCUAAUGAUUUGUCUGACUGUGUUUAUGUUGGAGGUGGGGGCGGCUCAGUCUCGUUUAAUAAUUCCGUGGGCUAUAUAUAUAUAUAUAUAUAUAAUGUAUAUGUAUAUGUAUAUAUGUAUAUGUAUAUAUAUGUAUAUAUGUAUAUGUGUGUCCUGAUAAGUAGCUUACAUGACUGAAUGGGACAAAAAUGACUCUUUAAUGGUUAACCUGUCAGUAGUUAAUGGCUAUAAAUAAGACGCAUCAGUUUUGUUUCCUACUGCAUUUACCACUUUUGACUACAGACACCAACUUUGAACAGAAGAAACAUCUGCUUUAGGGCUUGAAGUGGAGAAUAAGCGCAUACUUUUUUAUUUUUCCCCACACUUGCAUUCGUCUUCAAACAUUCUGUCCUCAUUGUCAUCUUAUUUAUUAACAAGUCACGCUGUGACUUCGCUAAUCAGACCAAAAAAAAAGUGAAAUAAAAAUCUGUGAAAGUCUAUAAAAACUACCCCCCCCCCCAUAACCUUCCUUCAAGGUAAAUCAUUUUCAUAAAUGCCUGUGAUUGGCUCUGACUCGCAGCCUGAGGGUCCCUGGUUUGAUCUUGAGCUCAGUUUACUGUCUCUGGAGGUUCACUUGUUCUCGCCGUGUUCCAAAAGAGUUCCAUUUAAAGCACAUCCACUUUGUGUUUAAAGUCCCCAUGAAUUAAAAAUGUGACGUUCCGUGGCUUUUAGUAUGAAUAUAUUCGCCUUAAGAUCAUCUCCAUGCUAGUGUGCUUCACAACAAUGACAGAAUUUCCAUUUAGAAGAUGUACAGUCUCUCUACCACCGAAACGGAUCGACAGUUCUGAUGACCUCAUUCUGCACCUCAGCGUCUCGUCAGGUUUUCUGUCCAAUCCGAUGCUCUCUAGAAUCUGAAGUGUCCCGCCCCCUGACAUUAUAAAAAUCCACGGUACUAACUGUCAAGUACGGCUUAGCUUGGGCUGUGAGGUAAGCUAAACACUCCUGGCGAUUUAAAAAGGGGGAGGAGCCACUCGGUAUGUCCCGCCCUGAUGUCCUGUUUCAGUGGAAAUUACAUCAACGCAUCAAAUAAUGCUUUUAUAAUCAUUUCAAGGCGCUUUAAAUUCAGAUACAUAGACGCAUAUUUGGAGCAUAGAUACAGAUGGUGACGUCCGACCAGAAAACGUAAAAGGACCAGCUGUACAUCUGACUUAUAAACUGCUGACACUGGAGUCUCCUUCCAUGAGCAUUCUUCCAUAGCAACUUCUCAGUAUGUGUUUUUAUUUAUACUUCUAAAAAGCUUUCGUAAUCUUUAUUUUUUUACACUAACAAUUAAAUGGUGCCGGAAAAAUCCCUAUAAAUUAGUUGUUACAAUAGGAAUACUACUACUAUCACUACUACUAAUAAUGCAUCGAAACUAAGUAUUUAAUGUAUAUCUGAUUUAAUUUUCAGCAAGCAUUACUUGCCACACUGUUCUAGAAAAGUAAUCGAGACCUUCAGACCGAUCACAGUCAGAAAAUCAGUAGUGCCAUGACGAAAUAAUUUCACAUGGCCAUUCACUUUUAAGCGAUGAUAGCCCUGUCCUUCUGUGUUCUGAGAAAAACUUGGAUCGUUCACAGGAACAAGGCCUGGAGAUAUGUGAACCUGUGUUCCUGCAGUGUGAAUAACCUGGAGUUACCCCACUCCCCCCCCCCCCCCCCCCUCUCUCUCUCUCUCUCUCUCUCUCUCACAUUUCAGUUACUUAAGUUCAUGACAUUAAUAGAACGCAGUACAUGGCGUAAGUUACUAUCAAAGCUUACGCAAUGUUAUAUAAAGGGAAAUUAAACCUAAAAAGUAAUGCAUAAAAAAUGCUAUUAUAUAAUAUAUAUAAUACAAACAUUGUUUUUAUACAAGUUUAUAAGUUUAUAUUAUGUAAGUACUUUUUAUGGAUGCACAAAAAGCAGAGGAUUAAACGACAGGCGUGUAAAUAUGUUGUGUCUGAUCUACGCACCACGAGUUAAGGGAAGAAGCAUGAUCGGGCUUGCUGUUCUAGUACAAAUAAACAUCGGUGGCACGGUUUGCUACGGACCUGACGCAACGCCACGUUACUGUUCAGACCACAAAGUUGAUUAUUUCCUAGUAACUGCAGUUCCCGAAGUGUUUCCACUCUCAACGCUGGUUUGUCAACGAUUAACCCGUUUAGUUUAAUACAGAACGACACAUCGUGCUUUUUAAUCGUCUGUAGUUGCCUCGAAUGAAAUGCACACCACUUCAGGGCGAUCCGUGAACACGUCGCUGAAAGCCGGACCGCAACGGAGGACCAAAAACGACCGACCGCGUCAUUGCCCUAGCUAGAAAAUAGGCAAUCGGUGCGAGACUGUUUGGAAACGGUGCAGGACGUCGGAGCUCUCUGCCGCUAGUCUCAUGGAUCGAGACGACGCUGUGACGGCAACGACGAAAGCAGCGAAAUGCUUUUCACUGCUUCACUCGUCCUCGCAUCUCUCACUCGUUGAUCAAUUUCUUUAGCAGACCGCACGAUUAAAACGCUUGACGCGUUAAAGCCGUGCGUACAGGGACACCAGAGAGGAUUUGCAGGAUGGAAGGCUGACGCAAUAAUCUUACGUCAGUCCUUCCAGGAUUUUGCAGAAAUGAACGCAAAAUCAAGGAAAACUCCAAACAUUCGAGGAGAUUUUUUUUCUCUCUCUCGAAAUUACCGCCGAUUCGGGCCGAGACGCGUCACGUGACGUCAUCACGACGCAUGUCGAGCCAAAGCCCUCUUCGAUUCACGUGCGUCGAACGUGAGUACAGCUAUAGUCUUACCAGCAAACGUCAAGACCGUGCAAAACAAUUUCGCGGAAUUGCGAUUUCGGCAAUGCGGGUAGAUUACCGCCAAACCAAAACUCCGCAAAUUGCGUCGCAGGUUUAAAAAAUAAACUGCAGCACGGUUGAGCGUUUUUGGCCGCGACGAUCAAAACCCCUCCUGUAUGUGAAAUCCUGUAUGGACAGAUUAAACGAUAUCAGAAAUCCGAUCAGAAGUAGUCCCUGAAGACUAGUCACUGAAGUAGUCUUGGCUGUCUGCUUGUGAUCCGAUCGCCCAGGACGCAUGUUGAUACCAGGUGUGAAAAAGCGCUUUGAUUACAUGGAGUGUUACUAUAGAAACAGUAUUGUAUUAGAACAAGUACAUUGUGAAGUACAGCCACUACGGCCCGAGAAAAUCGAACACCCGACGACCGGUUUUUUUCGCAGCCGUUCAAGAGGCUCAAGAUAUUUGUUGUAGGUUGUUUUCGGUUUGUUUGCUUUUCUCUGUGUGCUCGUAAGUUGACCGAGUAAAGAAAAAAACGUUGAAUAAACAGCGGUAAGCCUUGAACACUGCGUGCUGGCUUGAGUUCACCUCUUACUGUAGAUCUUUGUGAUACAACAGUGCAUUGUCCCAGGAUGCAUCACUGUUAUUUAAUCCCAAACAAGCUCCAAUAUCCGGCUCCCUUGCGGGCAAACGUCUGAGUCAUUCGCUUAUGAAGUCAUCUAUUUAAGCGCUCGGUCGGUACUGUUUACCAACAUCUGCUGUAGCCCGAAAACAGGAAUUCUGUUUCAAAGGUAGUGCUUGAUGUUUUUUAAUCACCAGCGAAAGGAAAAGCUCAAUUAUGCCGUAAUGAAUCACCCGGCUUGUGCUGUGGGUCUGGUUAUGACACAGACGCCGCUCAUCACGCUGAAUACGAACGGCUUUGAGUUGCUGUGUGUUUUCAUGAGCUCACGAUGAGUAACCGAGUCCUCAUUGACGGCGACUCUCUUUGAAGAAACCGUGCAGCUCUCCAGAGAAGGCCGAGUUGCUCCGGACGGCUGUUUACGUAAAGGAGAGGAGAUGGGUCACCAUCUGGAGAAAGCGAUACCAUCGUCACAGGUUCCUGUCAUUUGAAGUGCCCUGUGGUGUUUUUUUCUUUUUUCUUUUUUCUACACGUCUCUCUUCUGAGCGAAGUAGCCGGGAGGUUGCUCUUUUCAUCAGGUGUAAUUUUAUAUGCUGCCGUUCCUAAGAUGUGGACGUUGUACGAGAUCCUUGUGUGUGUGUGUGUGUGAGAGAGAGAGAGACACACGGCGGGGGGUGUUUGAGCUGGCCAAAAGAGCUUCAUGUUCUCCAAGACUCUCAUUCACGUAUAGACACGACACAGCCAUGUGUGAAUUAUUUAACACGCCGGUCAUGUCGCGGACGUGAAAUCUAACACUACGGUCUUAACGUUCACCUGAACGCGAUACGGAAGUUCUUUUGUUGACUCCAUUUCCUGUUCAGUAUAUUUUUAUUCACCGUUCCACCUUACAAGGUUGAAGAUACCUCCGUGCUGUAAAUACGAAACGCAAUACAUUUGUGGUGACAUCACGACAUCAUUCCUCCGUAAUCAUUGUUUAGACACUAGCGGCGCUGUGGUCCAUCACGGAAGUGAAAGUCCACACUUUAGGCAAUCCUAGAGUCAUGAUGAAGCGUUGGAAAUGGCCUCCUGCUGAUUUCAUCCCCGCUCGUUCGAAGAGACGUGUUCAGCUGACUGGUGGAAAGCUCCUUGGAACAGAUGGGGCUGUAAAGGGAGGAGACCUGCCCUGUUAGCCCUGGUUUUAAUUUCUCCUCAGCUCUGGCACUGCAGCGCUAUGGAACAGAUGCCAGGGCAGAUCUUCCUACCAAG
Long non-coding RNA from Ictalurus punctatus (channel catfish), 6650 nucleotides. The record is from Ensembl. NCBI's taxonomy places the organism in Eukaryota, Metazoa, Chordata, Actinopteri, Siluriformes, Ictaluridae.